ACUUGAAUAGCUUAUUUAGAGCAUGACAUUGAAGAUGUUAGGGAGAUGAAUUAUCUUUAAGUA
RNAcentral lists this transfer RNA (63 nucleotides) under Cis micans. RNAcentral describes it as "tRNA-Phe". Lineage: Eukaryota; Metazoa; Arthropoda; Insecta; Coleoptera; Ciidae. The record is from RNAcentral.